GGAGUGCUGGUUAGGGUCAGAUCCACGCAUGCGCAGCUAGGGGAGGAGCCCAGGAACAAACUUACGGAGCUGUUUCCUCCAAAUUCCUCCCUCUCUGUGAUCUCCCUGGUCCUUUCCUGAUCGCUGGGCUCCCUUUUUCGGGCCUCUGGCCAAAAACUUGGUGUUGUAGUUACCCUGCUCUGCCGUGCACUUCCUACAACUGCACCCACAGUCGCGGCCAAGCAGCGAAGAUUUAAGAAAGUAAGAAAUUCUCUUAUACAAUUAAGGGGGCGUUGAAUGUGCCAGGAUGUAAAUCAGCAUCUUGCGAAGUUUUGUUUGCAACAUGUAUAAUGAAAACUGGAGACUAAGAACAGAAACUUUACAACGAAGUAGAUUCUACAAAGCAGCCUAAGUGUAAAGCUUCAGCCUGGACCCUCGUUGAAUUUGACAGCAAAGUGUCAUGGUUCCAAGACAGCAUCUGAUUCCGGUUCCCUGCUGUGGGUCUGGUUUUGUGUGGUUGUAGCAGAAUUAUGAGAACAAGCCUCCCUCAAUUUGGGCUACACUGUCCACAGUCACAGAGCAUCUUCCAGAGAAGAAAACACCUGCAAUGAUGAGACAGAAGGAGAACGGUGGCAUCUCUCACUGUAAAGGAAAGAACACUGGGGCCACAAAGUGUCAUCAGCCAUGUUCCUCUCCAGUCCAAGGACUCCCAGACACUUAGUGUUCCAGCUCCUGAGUGAAAAUGUUAACCAUCAGCACACUCUCAAAGAUCACUCACUCUAGGAAGUCAGCUGCCAUGUCAUGAUGAUGCUCAAGCAGCCUUGUGGAAAAGCUUCACAAGGAGAGGAACUGAGGCCUCCUGUCAACAGCCAUGAGAGGGGGCUGUCUUAAAAGCAGAUCCUCCAUCCCCAGUCAAGCCUUCAGAUGACGGCAGCCCCUGUGGACAUCUUGACCACAACUUCAUGAGACCCUAAGCCAGAAACACUCAGCUAAACUGCCCUGGAUUUCUGACUCUCAGAAACUGUGAGAUAAUAAAUGUGUGUUAUUCUAAACUAACAGUCUAGAAUAAACUGUUAUGCAGCAAUAAAUAA
RNAcentral lists this long non-coding RNA (1070 nucleotides) under Homo sapiens (human). RNAcentral describes it as "novel transcript". Lineage: Eukaryota; Metazoa; Chordata; Mammalia; Primates; Hominidae. The record is from RNAcentral.